RNAcentral lists this unclassified non-coding RNA (218 nucleotides) under uncultured fungus. Its description in RNAcentral is "sequence contains ITS1". The record is from RNAcentral. Lineage: Eukaryota; Fungi.
GUAUUAAAAUGCGUUUAUAGCAUGCGUUACAUUCUGAGACUGACGUAGUGUAUAAAAACAUAGUGAGGCUCGACGCCCGGUGGUCUAAUCGAGCCAGACUACCAAAGGUGCACAGGUGUUGAUGGAGCGAGCCGAGCGUGCACAUGCCCCCCGAGGGAGGCCAGCGACAGCCCGUUUCAAACUCGGUAAUGAUCCUUCCGCAGGUUCACCUACGGAAA